CCUAAACUUGCCGUUGUUUUUUACCAGAAUUAUACAUGCAAGCUCCGCACUCCAGUGCAAAAGCCCAUUAAUCACCUAAACAGACAACCGGAGCAGGUAUCAGGCACACCAAAAGUCAAGCCAACAACACCGAGCUUCGCCACACCCACACGGGUCAUCAGCAGUAAUUAAUAUUAAGCAAUAGGCGAUCCAAGCCUGACUUAGUCACGGUACAUUAGGGUUGGUUAAUUUCGUGCCAGCCACCGCGGUUAUACNAAAAGCCCAAAACAACGGCCUUCGGC
RNAcentral lists this ribosomal RNA (281 nucleotides) under Acontias gracilicauda gracilicauda. RNAcentral describes it as "partial 12S ribosomal RNA". Lineage: Eukaryota; Metazoa; Chordata; Lepidosauria; Squamata; Scincidae. The record is from RNAcentral.